GAUGAACGCUGGCGGCGUGCCUAAUACAUGCAAGUCGAGCGAACAGACGAGGAGCUUGCUCCUCUGACGUUAGCGGCGGACGGGUGAGUAACACGUGGAUAACCUACCUAUAAGACUGGGAUAACUUCGGGAAACCGGAGCUAAUACCGAAUAAUAUAUUGAACCGCAUGGUUCAAUAGUGAAAGACGGUUUUGCUGUCACUUAUAGAUGGAUCCGCGCCGCAUUAGCUAGUUGGUAAGGUAACGGCUUACCAAGGCAACGAUGCGUAGCCGACCUGAGAGGGUGAUCGGCCACACUGGAACUGAGACACGGUCCAGACUCCUACGGGAGGCAGCAGUAGGGAAUCUUCCGCAAAGGGCGAAAGCUUGACGGAGCAACGCCGCGUGAGUGAUGAAGGUCUUCGGAUCGUAAAACUCUGUUAUUAGGGAAGAACAAAUGUGUAAGUAACUAUGCACGUCUUGACGGUACCUAAUCAGAAAGCCACGGCUAACUACGUG
This 497-nucleotide ribosomal RNA is filed under the name uncultured bacterium. Its description in RNAcentral is "partial 16S ribosomal RNA". It matches the Rfam family "Bacterial small subunit ribosomal RNA", at positions 28 to 507 of the family's 1533-position model. The record is from RNAcentral.